AAUCAACGCUGGCGGCGUGCCUAACGCAUGCAAGUCGAACGAGAAAGUCCCCGCAAGGGAGUGAGUACAGUGGCGACCGGGUGAGUAACACGUGACUAACCUACCCUGAAGCGGGGAAUAACCUCGGGAACCGGGGCUAAUACCGCAUACCUUCCAGAGGGGAAGCUCCUGUGGAGGAAACGAGCAAUCGGCUUUAGGAGGGGGUCGGCGCCCGAUUACGGUAGUUGGCGGGGUAAGUGGCCCACCAAGCCUUUGUANCGGUAGCCGGCCUGAGAGGGCGCACGGCCACACUGGAACUGAAACACGGUCC
This 310-nucleotide ribosomal RNA is filed under the name uncultured bacterium. RNAcentral's name for it is "bacterial SSU rRNA". It matches the Rfam family "Bacterial small subunit ribosomal RNA", at positions 32 to 332 of the family's 1533-position model. The record is from RNAcentral.